UCCUUCCUUGUCUAGGGGAGCUUAGUGUGCCAAUGAACGUUUAGUGAGGUCACUUUUGCUAACACCCUGUAAAAUUAAACCCGCAUCCUUUUUCUCUAUAAAGGGGAAAUGAGUUGCAAUUUUUGAAACU
Small nuclear RNA from Photinus pyralis (common eastern firefly), 130 nucleotides. RefSeq annotates it as U4atac minor spliceosomal RNA. The record is from RefSeq and is a predicted model, not a curated record. The transcript has a single exon. Lineage: Eukaryota; Metazoa; Arthropoda; Insecta; Coleoptera; Lampyridae.